UGAUCUUCCUCAAAAAAAAAAAUAAAAAAGAAAAAAGAAAAUGAGAGAGAGUGUUCCCAGUGGAGGCUCAGCUUGAGCAAAGGUGUGAAGAAGGAAUUUCUUUGAUUGGAAAGCAGUGGGGAUGGGCCUGGUUGAACUUCAGGUACAGAGAGCAAAAGACAAACCCAGAUGGGGGUGCUGACAUGUGCUGAGGGAAGUUCCUGAAUGUCUGGGGAGGAAGUGACCAUACUCCCUUCGGACCUUCCUAGUGAAGAGGGAUCUGGGCUUGACUGCUGUCCUGGGCUGAAGGAUAAAGCUGGCUUUACUGUGAUCUGGGUGUCAAGUAUGGCAGCAGGCCAGGGGCUCUCAGACUGACCCCAUUAAAUCCACCUAGGUCUCCCAUUAACUUCUCCCACUUCCUAACAUGGGGACCUGCUCUUUUCUGGACACCUAGACACCCAGGCUGUGGACAAGAAUAAGCCUCUAUGACCUUAUUAUUUGAGACAGAUGUAGCUCAAAGGAGCCUUCAAUGCCAAAUUGCUGGGGUGAAAAUAAAGCAUCACGGAAGGAGUAAAGAGCUGUGGUGGAAGGGAAAUUUGUGGUUUCCCGGGGCUCCUCAAAUCAAGAGGCCAACCCUGGCUGAGAGCUGUUUCUAGUCCUGGCUCAAUUACUUCUUAGCCAAGUGGCUUUGGGCAAGUCACUUUCUCUCUGGGCCUUGGUUUCUCCAUGUGAAACCAGAUCAAGAUGAGCAGACAAUGCACGAGGAGGUGCGCAUAACCCAGGGACUUCUCCCGGCCCGUGGCUCUCUCUUUGGCCGGGUCCCUGCGGUGCAGCACCUUCUCCAAAAGCUCUCUCGGGAGGGUCCAGCCUUCUUCUUUAGUCGGAAAUGUGAUCUGAUCCAACCUACUGUGUGCUGGGUUCCCUCCACUGCAGUCCCCAGAUGGAUCCCUCUGAACAGGCCACGUGCUCCUAGGAGAGUGGUGGGUGCAGGUCCCUCACUUACCCCUGCUUCAGUAAGUGGGGGCUUUCUCAGAGGGGAGGCAGUGGGGUGGAGUGAAAGAAACACUGGCCUGUGGCCCAGCACAACUGUCCCACUUUCUCUCUCUGGGUCUCAGUAUCUUCACUGCCAAAUGGAGCAAAGAAUUUUUGUUUGGUCUUCUUUCCCCCAGUCUACUGUGAAACUGAAAUAGAAUUCAGAUGUGACCAAGGUUCUGGCCAGGUACAACAUCUUGCAAACACAGGGGCUAAGCUGGAGCUAGAGCUGGCCCCAGCUGCAGAGAGCAAAAUGAAGCCUUGCUGUUCUCAGACCUCACCCUAGGCAGAGUAGAAGUGGGGUACAGUGCCUCCUCAAGGCAUGCCCAGUGCUAUGCCAGGCCUGGCCAAGCUCUCCCCCAGUACUGCCCCUUGCCCAGUGAGCCGGGGAAAGGGCUGAAAUUUUGUUCUUUUCCAGAGCAGCUCUGACUUAGGAGCUAAAAGGAAAACUUUCCAAAGGGCUGAAAACUGAAAGUAAACAGCCACUUGGUUCUGGCUGGCCAGGUGGGCUUGCCAACGGUGUGCUGUGAGGCUCAGUAUAGCUGCCUGCCUCGUUCAACUUUCACCCCCUUGGCCGGAUGCCUUUCCCUGAGGCGGCUCCCAGAGUCCUCUCUAGGCCAGGACUAGGAUUUCCUUGGUGCUAAAGAGAGUAGCAAACUCAGCAGCUGCAGCCAGGAGCAGCAGGGAAGUGGGGACAAGACACUUAGACCAAGGGCCCAGCCCUGAGAGGCAAAUCCUAAAUCUGACCCCAACCAGCUGCAGCAUGGCUGGGCUCUGCACUCUGGGCUCACAUUCCAUUCCUGCGUUAGAGCUCAGGUCAUGUGGUUUUCACUGUGUACAUGCUCCCUCCGUUCCUCACCACCCUCUGACAGCUCUGUAUCCUUCCCUGGCAACAGGCCCAUUCCAGAGGGCCUAGGGACACUUCCUCAUCCCGGGCCUCAGACUCCCCAGCUACACACUGAAGAGGCCUGACUAGAUCACGACUUCUCAACCUUUUGAACUCAUGCCCUGCCAGUACGAGGGCUCAAAAGUCCAGAUUCCUGAGGGGGAAGCGUUAACAUGACACUCCUGGGAGAGCUCCUGGCUCCACCUGCCCAGCAGGCCUGUGGCACCUUUCCCUUGAGUACCUGCCAAAUCGCAUUCUGGGACAGGGUACCAGCCAGUUCCGGCUGCUUCCCGUGACUUCUGUACGUCUUUGGCCAGGGAGCUCAUCUCCUCCUGAAAGCUUUGUGUGGCCUUUAUCAGAAACCCUUUGACCUUUAGGUCUCUUCUUGGGGCUCUGCAGAAGGCUAGGGACUUGGUGGUUCAAAGAAAUGAGGCAAUAGGUCAGGGCCUCCUGCCCCAAGAGGGGAAGCUGAGCCAUCAGGCCUGGACCACAAGCUGAGGGCAGAUGACACUGGGCUCAGGAUGUUCCGUUGGACUCUGCUGACCCGAUCUGGUGAUUUUGUGGAGGCUGGGUUUCUCAACCAGGAUUGUGUAUCCCUUAGAUGCCUCUGGGCUUGGGGGAGGGAAACCAAGGGACAUAAAAAUUCUUUGGGCUUCUGGGAGAAAAGCAGCAGCCUUAAGACUCAUAGACAGGCAGGCCACAGACUUCUGAGGCUGGGGUUCUAUCGCCCUUAAGUGGGGUGGUGUGUCAUCCUGAGUCUCUAACUCAGGGUCUGAACUGAGCACAGAGUCAACUGCUACAGCCCUGAGAACUUCUCUCCACACUUCUGGGGUGCCCUGUGGGGCCUAACUUCCCAGCUCCCCACUCCUGAUGCUAAGCUUUUGAUCAUGUCCCUAUCCCUUGGCAUUUCCUUCCUACCAGUCCUUGCUAAAAUGUAACAGCAUAAGAGGGAAGAAGUCUUAUAAUAUGACAAUAUAAGGCAAUAAUAAUGAUGAUAAAAAUAACAUAGCUAACACUCAUAUAAUUCUUACUAUGUUACAUGCCAAGAACUAUUCUAAGUGCUUUACGUAUUGUACUCAGUUAAUUCUAAACAAACUCUAGGAGGCAGGUACUAUUAUGCCCAUUUUUCAGAUAAAGAAACUGAAGCACAGAAAAGUUAGGUAACUUGUCCCAGGUUACACAGCUAGUAAGUGGCAAAACUGAACUUUAAACUUAGGCUGUCUGGAUUCUCAGGCCCUGCUUCUAACUACUAUACAAAACUGCAUGGUAGGAGAGAUUAAGUCUGUGUUGCCUCCCCAGAGACCAGACUUCAGACCUCAGAAAGCCAGCAGCAGAGCCAAGGCAAGAAACCAGGUUUGCUGACUCUCAGCUUCCCAGCUGGCCUGGAGCACCUCCAUCCCUAGUGAGGCCUGAGGUGCUGUGGUCUGGCUGAGUGGAGGGAAGUUGAUAAAACUAGUUUGCCAAUAGCAGCUAAGCAAACAAAAUCAGAAGUAACUUUAAAUAAAACCAGGAAGCUGCCCCAGUGAAGAGGUACUUCACCACAAGAGGGAAGAGAAAGCAGAGGCAGCAGAACUCGACCAAUUCACAAGCAAUUGGAAACUGUGCGACUGGAUGUCUGUGCAGCAGUCCUGGCCUCUGUACUCUAUCUGUAUUCUACAGUACACUCACCCUGCGAGGCCUGAUAACCCCAGCUGACAGCUGAGGAGACAGGCUCAGAAAGAUCAGAAGGUUAAUGGCACACAGAAUCCUGUAUCCACCAUACUGUGAGGGAAGGAGAGGAAGAAACCUGCUUCACAGACGCUUCAAGUGGAGACUGUCUGGGAGGCUCCUGGGCUGAGGCGCAUGAUUUCAGUGUGGAGCGAAGGACUAGGCCUUCCCUAGACCUUGUGAUGAAACCAGAGCAGGUGAGCCAGUAUGUACAAGCUCUCCUUUUUCAGGGAUGGGUUGCUUGUCCUGGGCCUGAAGCAGGUCAGCUCCAGUACAGCAAUCUCAGGACACUGGUUGAGAAGAGCCCAGUAGGCCCUCAAAAUGCUCUUCUUCAACCUUCAGGGCCAAGGCAGAAAGAUGGAACAGAUGGAAUCCUAAUGGAAGGAAUCCUCAAAUGGGGGUACAGGACAGGCUCCUGCCCUCCCCUGUCUACCUCUCACAUUACAGAAAAUAGAAGACAAAAGAGAAAAUGGCAGCUUUCAUCAAAUGGAAACUCCAUCACCAAUCUCUAAUCCUACCUGCUUUAGCACCCAUCUUUCCCAUCUUCUCUGUCUUCCUUCAUGCUAUAGGGUGAGUUUUCUUUUUCCUCCAAAAAGGCCAAUACCCCCACAUGUGCUCUGGAUCCCAUGCCUUCUCUGACCCGGGGACUGUUCUUUCUAUUCCGUCUCCCUCUCCUGCAUCUUCCCUUCUCCCUUUCUCUACUGGAUCACUGCUGUAGCAUACGGAAAGCUGUAGCGGUUGCCAUAUUUAAAAAACAAACCCCAAAAAACCUUCCCUCGAUCUCAUAUGCUACUCCAGCCACUAUCCUAUUACUCUGCUCCACAUCACAGUCAAAUUAGGGAAGGAGUUGGUGUCUCCAUUUUGUCACCAUUCAAUCAUUCUUAAAAUUUUAAUUACACAUGAUUUUGUGAUUUCAUUGUGUAACAUACCAAAGAACCUAUGGACCUUAUGUAAAUUAUGAAGCAUAAUAGAAAUGAACAUCUGUAAACCCACAACCCAAUCUAAGAACUAAAGCAUUGUUAAUAGUGUUGAAUAGACCUACGUGCGCCUCCUCCCCUACGCCAUUCCCUGCCUCCAAAAUUAUGACCACUGUACUCAAACUUCUGAAAACCAAGGAGAAAAAUCUUAAAAGCAGCCAGAGAAUAAAGGUCACAAUACAUUCAGGGCAACAACAAUAAAAACAAUGGUUGCUUCUCAUCAGAAACAAUGGCAGUCAGUAGAGUGUGGAAUGAUAGUUCCUAAAGGCUAAAAGAAACAAACAAAAUUCAACUUAGAAUUCUAUAUCCAGUGAAAAAAGUAUCUUUCAAAAACGAAGGUAAAAUAAAGAUAUUUUCAGACACAUGAAGCUGACAGCAUCAGUUACCAGGAGGUCUGUACUCCAUGAAAUUCUAAAGGAAGCUCUUCACGCUGAAGGGAAAUGGUGCUAGAGUGAAACCGGGAUGUGAGGAAGGAACGAAGAACACCAGAACUACUAAGCAUACGGGUUAUCCAGCACUGGUUGGCAGCCAGUCUAGAGCAAAAGAGACUCGGCUAUAAAUGCCUCAAGCAGUGAGCGAGGCCCAGCACCAGUGAAGAUGACCAACCUCCUGAGGUUUCCUCUGCCCUCUGGGGUGAACCAUGACAACUGGUUACCCUAACUAGGACCCAGAAGGAGGUCUCAAGGAGAGAGAUGGCCCUGAGAGCAGCAGACAAAC
Equus quagga is the source of this 5298-nucleotide long non-coding RNA. RefSeq lists it as uncharacterized. Lineage: Eukaryota; Metazoa; Chordata; Mammalia; Perissodactyla; Equidae. The transcript has 3 exons. The record is from RefSeq and is a predicted model, not a curated record.